CCGAUGGCGACCGGCGCACGGGUGAGUAACACGUAUCCAACCUGCCUCAUACUCGGGGAUAGCCUUUCGAAAGAAAGAUUAAUAUCCGAUAGCAUAUAUUUCCCGCAUGGGUUUUAUAUUAAAGAAAUUCGGUAUGAGAUGGGGAUGCGUUCCAUUAGUUUGUUGGGGGGGUAACGGCCCAUCAAGACUACGAUGGAUAGGGGUUCUGAGAGGAAGGUCCCCCACAUUGGAACUGAGACACGGUCCAA
Molecule: ribosomal RNA, 248 nt
Filed under: uncultured bacterium
Lineage: Bacteria
Description: partial 16S ribosomal RNA
Rfam family: Bacterial small subunit ribosomal RNA
Source: RNAcentral